CUAAAAUGACUCUCGGCAACGGAUAUCUCGGCUCUUGCAUCGAUGAAGAACGUAGCGAAAUGCGAUACUUGGUGUGAAUUGCAGAAUCCCGUGAACCAUCGAGUCUUUGAACGCAAGUUGCGCCUGAAGCCAUCUGGUUGAAGGCACGUCUGCCUGGGCGUCACGCAU
Molecule: ribosomal RNA, 168 nt
Filed under: Erica planifolia
Lineage: Eukaryota; Viridiplantae; Streptophyta; Magnoliopsida; Ericales; Ericaceae
Also listed under: 1 other name
Description: 5.8S ribosomal RNA
Rfam family: 5.8S ribosomal RNA
About the family: 5.8S ribosomal RNA (5.8S rRNA) is a component of the large subunit of the eukaryotic ribosome.
Source: RNAcentral